This 495-nucleotide ribosomal RNA is filed under the name uncultured bacterium. Its description in RNAcentral is "partial 16S ribosomal RNA". It matches the Rfam family "Bacterial small subunit ribosomal RNA", at positions 28 to 523 of the family's 1533-position model. The record is from RNAcentral.
GAUGAACGCUAACGGGAGGCCUAACACAUGCAAGCCGAGCGGUAUUGUUUCUUCGGAAAUGAGAGAGCGGCGUACGGGUGCGUAACACGUGUGCAACCUGCCUUUAUCUGGGGGAUAGCCUUUCGAAAGGAAGAUUAAUACUCCAUAAUAUAUUGAACGGCAUCGUUUAAUAUUGAAAGCUCCGGCGGAUAGAGAUGGGCACGCGCAAGAUUAGCUAGUUGGUGAGGUAACGGCUCACCAAGGCGAUGAUCUUUAGGGGGCCUGAGAGGGUGAUCCCCCACACUGGUACUGGGACACGGACCAGACUCCUACGGGAGGCAGCAGUGAGGAAUAUUGGUCAAUGGGUGCAAGCCUGAACCAGCCAUCCCGCGUGAAGGACGACUGCCCUAUGGGUUGUAAACUUCUUUUGUAUAGGGAUAAACCUACCCUCGUGAGGGUAGCUGAAGGUACUAUACGAAUAAGCACCGGCUAACUCCGUGCCAGCAGCCGCGGUAA